This is a long non-coding RNA of Bos taurus (domestic cattle), 1051 nucleotides long. NCBI's taxonomy places the organism in Eukaryota, Metazoa, Chordata, Mammalia, Artiodactyla, Bovidae. The record is from Ensembl.
GAGUCAAACAGAUCUGUAAGCCAAACCCCAGAAGAAGGUCCAUGCGCCCCUGGGAAGUGCUGACAUGGGCAGCUGGCCCAGGAAGCAGGGCAGAGAAGAGCAUCAGAGAAGUCCUACUCUCUGUUGGCAGCUUGCUCACAGAGGAUUAAAGGGCAGACUGAGCCCAGUUGAUUCUUCCCCAAACUAUCAGUCAGAAAAGUCACUCUGCCUCCUCUCGGGUAGGAGAGGGAAGGAAGGGAGGGAGCCAGGAGGUAGACUCACUAAAGCAUGAGGAAGGCAGCAUUUGGCAUCACCCCAAAACACCUUGCACAGAAAUAUGGCAGCCAGGGCAACAAGCAGGCUUUGGGGAGGGCGACAGACUCAGUGUUGGCUGCGGGAGACCCAGUCCAGAGGAGCCUCUGGGAGGUCUGCUGAAUGAAUCAAUCACUGAUGGAGAGGAGGAAGCUAGUCCUUCCCUUCUCAGCAGUGGGAAUUACCCUCCGGAAUUAGAUGAGUCUCUCACUGAACACAGAGCUGCUUGCCCCACCACAGAUAGGGGCGUGGGUUCACACCUCCAUUUCUUCUCCAACUCAGGGGAAGAGAAGGCCCAGGGAGCAGUCUGAUCCAGGUGCUGCCAGGAUGCUGGCACAGCUGGGGACACCCAGGCAUUCUAUUUGCGUAAGGACUCACCAGGCCUCCAGGGAUACAACCUGGUAAUGACUUCAGAACUGACAGCCUGGGGUAGAUGCUGCAGACUGCUUUCUACAGAAGAUAAAAUGCAGGGCUGGAGAGGCCAUCAGAAGUGAUCCCACAUGCAGACCCGCAGGAAAGAAGUUGGGAGACAAAGGCUUGGACCCAGUACAUCUUGGACUGGAAGAGCUGAAUGCCUGGAUUCUACCAGGAGUGACUGAUGAGUGCUACAUUUUACAGGUUCUAAAUAGUAAUAACUUUAUAUUAAAUAAUUUUAUAUAGCAACUUUGUAUAAUUUAAUAUCAUACAAUUUAAGUAAAUGACUCUCCCUCAAAUGAUGAUGCCUUUAGGCAUCUGAAGUAGAUUUCAGGUAGAUUCCAGU